RNAcentral lists this ribosomal RNA (1245 nucleotides) under metagenome. RNAcentral describes it as "bacterial LSU rRNA". It matches the Rfam family "Bacterial large subunit ribosomal RNA", at positions 1699 to 2925 of the family's 2925-position model. The record is from RNAcentral.
UUCGGGUGAAGGAACUAGGCAAAAUGGCACCGUAACUUCGGGAGAAGGUGCACCGCUUUUGGUGAUGGGAUUUACUCCCUAAGCUGAGGGCGGUCGAAGAUACCAGGCCCCUGCAACUGUUUAUUAAAAACACGGCACUCUGCAAACACGUAAGUGGACGUAUAGGGUGUGACGCCUGCCCGGUGCCGGAAGGUUAAUUGAUGGGGUUAGCGCAAGCGAAGCUCUUGAUCGAAGCCCCGGUAAACGGCGGCCGUAACUAUAACGGUCCUAAGGUAGCGAAAUUCCUUGUCGGGUAAGUUCCGACCUGCACGAAUGGCGUAAUGAUGGGGGCGCUGUCUCCACCCGAGACUCAGUGAAAUUGAAAUCGCGGUUAAGAUGCCGUGUUCCCGCGGCUAGACGGAAAGACCCCGUGAACCUUUACUAUAGCUUUGCACUGAACUUUGAACCUAUCUGUGUAGGAUAGGUGGGAGGCUUUGAAGUUGGGACGCUAGUCCUAAUGGAGCCGUCCUUGAAAUACCACCCUGGUAUGUUUGAGGUUCUAACGUAGACCCCUAAUCGGGGUUGCGGACAGUGUAUGGUGGGUAGUUUGACUGGGGCGGUCUCCUCCCAAAGAGUAACGGAGGAGCACGAAGGUGUGCUAAUCAUGGUCGGAAAUCAUGAGGUUAGUGUAAAGGCAAAAGCACGCUUGACUGCGAGACAGACAUGUCGAGCAGGUACGAAAGUAGGUCUUAGUGAUCCGGUGGCUCUGUAUGGAAGGGCCAUCGCUCAACGGAUAAAAGGUACUCCGGGGAUAACAGGCUGAUACCGCCCAAGAGUUCACAUCGACGGCGGUGUUUGGCACCUCGAUGUCGGCUCAUCACAUCCUGGGGCUGAAGCCGGUCCCAAGGGUAUGGCUGUUCGCCAUUUAAAGUGGUACGCGAGCUGGGUUUAGAACGUCGUGAGACAGUUCGGUCCCUAUCUGCCGUGGGCGUUGGAGAUUUGAGAAGAGUUGUUCCUAGUACGAGAGGACCGGAAUGAACGAACCUCUGGUGUUCGGGUUGUCAUGCCAAUGGCACUGCCCGGUAGCUAUGUUCGGACGGGAUAACCGCUGAAAGCAUCUAAGCGGGAAGCCUCCUUCAAGAUGAGAUCUCCCUGGGACUUUAAGUCCCCUAAAGAGCCGUUGAAGACUACGACGUUGAUAGGUUGGGUGUGGAAGCGCAGCGAUGCGUUGAGCUAACCAAUACUAAUUGCUCGUGCGGCUUGACC